This 279-nucleotide ribosomal RNA is filed under the name uncultured bacterium. RNAcentral describes it as "partial 16S ribosomal RNA". It matches the Rfam family "Bacterial small subunit ribosomal RNA", at positions 506 to 784 of the family's 1533-position model. The record is from RNAcentral.
UGCCAGCCGCCGCGGUAAUACAGGGGGGGCUAGCGUUAUUCGGAAUGACUGGGCGUAAAGGGUACGUAGGCGGUUUAUUACGUUGAAGGUGAAAUCCCAAAGCUUAACUUUGGAAUGGCUUUCAAAACGGAUAGACUUGAGGUCGAGAGAGGAUAGUGGAAUUUCUAGUGUAGAGAUAGAAUUCAUAAAUAUUAGAAGGAACACCAGUGGCGAAGGCGACUAUCUGGAUCGAUACUGACGCUGAGGUACGAAAGCAUGGGGAGCAAACAGGAUUAGAUA